UGAAGUAGAGCAGGGACCUCA
This 21-nucleotide microRNA is filed under the name Triticum aestivum (bread wheat). RNAcentral describes it as "tae-miR9661-5p". The record is from miRBase by way of RNAcentral. Lineage: Eukaryota; Viridiplantae; Streptophyta; Magnoliopsida; Poales; Poaceae.